Molecule: RNA transcript, 2455 nt
Organism: Hyla sarda
Lineage: Eukaryota; Metazoa; Chordata; Amphibia; Anura; Hylidae
Gene name: receptor-interacting serine/threonine-protein kinase 4-like
Exons: 12
Source: RefSeq, a predicted model, not a curated record
GAAAAACUGUGGUAAAAAGAGGAGUGGAUCUGUUUCAUGUUGUAGUCACAUUGUAGCUGACUGUAUGUAAGGAGAAGGUUAGCAGAGACAUUCCAGUCUACAUUGUCUCUCAGCCGCCUGUAUACUGUCAUACAAAGAUAUAUGAGGAUUACCACAGCCCCGUCCUCACUCACUCGGGAUUUCCCGCCUCCCGCCCUGCAGUCAGUCAGUCACACAAUUGGACGAGGCCACAGAGAGUACACCGCCCGGAGGACAUGCAGCCUCUGCCGCCCGGGGACCUGUCCCAGCUGGAGCUGGUGGGCAGCGGGGGGUUCGGGGAGGUCUACAGAGGGCGCAGCACGAGGCUGGGGAUGGACAUUGCCCUGAAGAAAACCCUCAGAGACAGCGCAGCUGAUUUGAAAAGCCUUUUGAAAGAGAAAGACAUGAUGUCCAGAGCAAAUUACACCUAUGUUCUUCGUCUGCUUGGAUUAUACGAGAUAGAGGGGAGAACAACAUGUAAUUUUGGUCUAGUUAUGGAGUACAUGCCCUAUGGUUCUAUUUGCACCCUUUUUAAAUGCGUUGAAAAUGUGCCAUGGGCAUUGAGGUUUCAGAUUCUUCACCAAGUGGCGCUGGGUAUGAAUUAUCUCCAUCACGUUCUUGAGCCACCUAUUAUCCACCGUGACCUGAAACCCCAUAAUGUUUUAUUGAACAAGUCCUUAGAUAUUCAGCUAACAGAUUUUGGGCUUGCAAAAAAUGUAGAAUCAGACACCUCAAGUCAAUCUAUGGCGGGCACUGUAUCUUACAUGCCACCUGAAGCCCUAAAAUCCAUCACUUACAAGCCUACAAAAGAGUUUGACGUUUACAGUUUUGCAAUCUUCAUCUGGUCUGUCUUGUCUGCUAAGGAGCCCUAUAAAGGUGUAAACAGAGAAAUGAUUGAAUUGCUUAUUCCACAAUGCCAGAAACAUAGACCUGAUAUGAACUUGGUCAACCAGUGGACAUCCCAGAAGAUGGUUCCUGAAGCUAUACAGCUGAUGCAGGAGUGUUGGGUUGCUGAUCCUAGUAAAAGACCAUUGUUUUCUGCCAUUAUUAAACGGACCGAUGAGAUGAAUUUGGCCUACGCUGGUGAGAUUCACAAUGAAAUUAUUAAGAUUUUGGAUGAACUCAAAAAACAUAACUCUGCACAUUUUCAGGCUUUAGACAAUCCUGAUGGUGGAAGAACAUCAAGUCUUAGGCCUACUAUUCCAGACACCUAUUCCCUCAGUGUAAACAAUUUUAGAGAAAUCCUACAGCUAGCCGAAAAGAGGGGAGCACACGCCCAUAAUACACCUGUUUCCCCAGAGUCCUCCAGGGAAGACAACGUAGAUGCAAAAGAUUUCUUAGAGUCAAACUUUCCCCAGAUUGUUCAAGCCAAACCUGACCUGAGUGAGGUUUUAGAUGUCCUUCUUUCUAAACGUACGAUCACCCAAGAAGAACUAGACACCAUAAAACUUGGCUCCAUCCAGAAUCAGAUCAGGAAGACUUUACAUACGAUCAUCAGCAAGGGACAGGAAAGCUGUAUGGAAUUUCUUAAACUCCUCAACCGUCUCCACGCAGAACUAAUGACCUCACUAACCUCAAAUUCCCUCCCUGGAGACGAAUGAAUGGAGAGGUGGCUGGGCAUGUGCACUAUUCUCCACAUUCAAAGCUAAGCAAAAUUAAACACAUCAGUAGGUUCAACAUUUACAUGUACUGGCAGAGAUCGAACACACCAGAAGAUCACCAGAGGAUGAAGGUGACACCAUCUCUGUGCAUGAAUUACAUUUCCUUAAGUUUCUAGAGUCUUCUCUCCAGCUAAGUUUAAAUGUAAACCUUUUUCUGACUUGUUUAUGAGCCAACCUUCUCCUAUCAUUAAAUAUAAUAAAUAAUUUCUACUUUGCUUCCAUAGCCCGGGAGGUUUCAUAAUAGGAGGAAGGAAUAUUAUUUCAGUCAUAGUGAAUGGGGAGUAGGAGAGACACUAAGGGACAGCAUGUAACACCCACAGGAGAAAUAACUAUAAGGCAUAAACACUAGACAAACGUCACCUGUCUCUCUAGAAUUUAUUCUUAUUUUUAUUCUAAUUAAUGGGAGGAAGCACAUAGAGUUCUGAACACCUGCGAUCUGGGCCCCAGGAGUCAGGGGACAAGUGUUGUACAAUAUGCAAUUAAACUAUAGUAAAAGCAAGUAGAGACAAUCCCAAAGUGCUUCUAACAAGGUAACCAGCAGUCUCCUAGGUCCUAUCCGGAGUCUAUACACAUAGUCCUAUGCUAACCUCUCUACCGGGACAUGAAAACCAUGUGACAAUUGCCAUCAACUGCUGAGUUAUUUUAAUUAUUCUGUUAAUCCUUAGUGUGCCAGUAGGAUAAAACGACUGUAUCUUUCUACCAAGUGUUACAUGACAUGAACAUGUAUUUGGUUUUUAUUUGUAUUAUUUUUUAUUAUUAAUAAUAAGAAGAACAUA